Molecule: ribosomal RNA, 440 nt
Filed under: uncultured bacterium
Lineage: Bacteria
Description: bacterial SSU rRNA
Rfam family: Bacterial small subunit ribosomal RNA
Source: RNAcentral
CCUACGGGAGGCAGCAGUGAGGAAUAUUGGACAAUGGGUGAGAGCCUGAUCCAGCCAUCCCGCGUGAAGGACGACUGCCCUAUGGGUUGUAAACUUCUUUUGUACAGGGAUAAACCUAUCUACGUGUAGAUAGCUGAAGGUACUGUACGAAUAAGCACCGGCUAACUCCGUGCCAGCAGCCGCGGUAAUACGGAGGGUGCAAGCGUUAUCCGGAUUUAUUGGGUUUAAAGGGUCCGUAGGCGGGCCUGUAAGUCAGUGGUGAAAUCUCACAGCUCAACUGUGAAACUGCCAUUGAUACUGCAGGUCUUGAGUAAAUUUGAAGUGGCUGGAAUAAGUAGUGUAGCGGUGAAAUGCAUAGAUAUUACUUAGAACACCAAUUGCGAAGGCAGGUCACUAAGAUUCAACUGACGCUGAUGGACGAAAGCGUGGGGAGCGAACAG